GCGACACAGGCUCUUUAGAGCCUCUAGUUUUAAAAGCAAUGUAUUUGCAUAAUAAUAGUCUUUUUAGUUAGUAAAAUAAGUUGAUGUUUUGUAGGCAGAAAAAGAUCAGGAAAUAAGAAAAUAGAUGCAGCAGAAUCCAAGAAGUGUACAGUAAGACUGACUGAUAUUGGUACUAUUAAAAACUUGAAAACAUAUGUAAACAAGACAGAGAAAAAAAGAAAAAGAAGGAAGAUAUGUGUAAAGAACUUGUAAAAAAAAAUGUUAAAUGUUAAAGGGGCACUAGCUGUCAAAUUCAUGUUCACCGAUUUUACUUAAUUUCUAGUAUUUGAUUUAUAAUAAUGAAUAAUGUUAACAUUUAUCCAACCUAUUUAAAGUCUAAAAAAAAUUAUUAAGAGGACACGGUAUAAA
RNAcentral lists this long non-coding RNA (408 nucleotides) under Mytilus galloprovincialis (Mediterranean mussel). The record is from RNAcentral. Lineage: Eukaryota; Metazoa; Mollusca; Bivalvia; Mytilida; Mytilidae.